Molecule: ribosomal RNA, 400 nt
Filed under: uncultured bacterium
Lineage: Bacteria
Description: partial 16S ribosomal RNA
Rfam family: Bacterial small subunit ribosomal RNA
Source: RNAcentral
CCUACGGGAGGCAGCAGUGAGGAAUAUUGGUCAAUGGACGCGAGUCUGAACCAGCCAAGUAGCGUGAAGGAUGACUGCCCUAUGGGUUGUAAACUUCUUUUAUAUGGGAAUAAAACAGGGUAUGCAUACCCUCUUGUAUGUACCAUAUGCAUAAGGAUCGGCUAACUCCGUGCCAGCAGCCGCGGUAAUACGGUGGAUCCGAGCGUUAUCCGGAAUGAUUGGGCGUAAGGGGUGCGCAGGCGGUCCUGCAAGUCUGGAGGGAAACGCAUGGGCUCAACUCAGGCAUGGCAUUGGAAACUGGAGGACUGGAGAGCAGGAGAGGGCGGUGGAACUCCAGGUGUAGCGGUGAAAUGCGUAGAUAUAUGGAAGAACACCAGUGGCGAAGGCGGCCGCCUGGACU